CGUGGUCAUCUAUUUAGUAUGCAGUAUCCAAUUGAGUUGAAUAAUAAGGUGUACGAUCUUGAUAUGCAAAGCCAUGAUACAUGAUAUUGUUCUACCCGCAAUAUCUUCCUUUCCUGUGUCCAGCUAUAUAUUCUAUUAGGAUAUUUUUUUUUAAUAUCUUAGUAAGCGUUUUUGUCAUUGACAUGGUCAUCUACUGAACAUUAUUGUAUUCACUUUUAUGUAGGCUCCUGCUGAGAGAAGACUAGUUUUUCGCGAUGAACUGCAGAAGACAGGUACUGCAGGUGCCAAAGUAUUACGUGAGAUUGGAAAAAAGUUAAAAAAGAUGGAGAAGUUAGGAAUGGUGGAUAUACUUGAAGAAGUGCAUGAAGCAGCAGAGAACUUGCAGAAAAAGAUUGAUCAAAAGUCAUACCUUCUCGUCAAUU
Molecule: long non-coding RNA, 422 nt
Filed under: Daucus carota (carrot)
Lineage: Eukaryota; Viridiplantae; Streptophyta; Magnoliopsida; Apiales; Apiaceae
Description: long non-coding RNA (DCAR_LNC002868)
Source: RNAcentral